RNAcentral lists this ribosomal RNA (486 nucleotides) under uncultured Lutimonas sp. RNAcentral describes it as "bacterial SSU rRNA". It matches the Rfam family "Bacterial small subunit ribosomal RNA", at positions 28 to 505 of the family's 1533-position model. The record is from RNAcentral. Lineage: Bacteria; Pseudomonadati; Bacteroidota; Flavobacteriia; Flavobacteriales; Flavobacteriaceae.
GAUGAACGCUAGCGGCAGGCUUAACACAUGCAAGUCGAGGGGUAGCAGGAUUUAGUUUACUAGAUUGCUGACGACCGGCGCACGGGUGAGUAACGCGUAUACAAUUUGCCUUUUACUGGAGGAUAGCCAAGAGAAAUUUUGAUUAAUACUCCAUAGUAUUAUUAGAUCUCCUGAUUUGAUAAUUAAAGCUCCGGCGGUAAAAGAUGAGUAUGCGUCCUAUUAGCUAGAUGGUAAGGUAACGGCUUACCAUGGCGACGAUAGGUAGGGGUCCUGAGAGGGAGAUCCCCCACACUGGUACUGAGACACGGACCAGACUCCUACGGGAGGCAGCAGUGAGGAAUAUUGGGCAAUGGAGGCAACUCUGACCCAGCCAUGCCGCGUGCAGGAAGACUGCCCUAUGGGUUGUAAACUGCUUUUAUACAGGAAGAAACUUAUCCACGUGUGGAUAACUGACGGUACUGUAAGAAUAAGGACCGGCUAACUCCG